GAUGAACGCUAGCGGGAGGCCUAACACAUGCAAGCCGAGCGGUAGAGUUUCUUCGGAUACUUGAGAGCGGCGUACGGGUGCGUAACACGUGUGCAACCUACCUUUAUCUGGGGGAUAGCCUUUCGAAAGGAAGAUUAAUACCCCAUAAUAUAAUGAUUGGCAUCAAUUAUUAUUGAAAACUCCGGUGGCUAGAGAUGGGCACGCGCAAGAUUAGAUAGUUGGUGAGGUAACGGCUCACCAAGUCAAUGAACUUUAAGGGUCCUGAGAGGGAGAUCCCCGGCACGGGUGCAGAGACACGGACCAGACGACUACGGGAGGCAGCAGUGUGGAAUGGUAGGCAGUGGGGGAGAGUCUGAGCCAGCCAUCCCGAGUGAAGGAUGACGGUCCUAUGGAUUGUAAGCUGCUUUUGUACAUGGAUAACCCUACCCUCGUGGGGGUAGCUGACGGUACUGUACGAAUAAGCACCGGCUAACUCCGUG
RNAcentral lists this ribosomal RNA (479 nucleotides) under uncultured bacterium. Its description in RNAcentral is "partial 16S ribosomal RNA". It matches the Rfam family "Bacterial small subunit ribosomal RNA", at positions 28 to 507 of the family's 1533-position model. The record is from RNAcentral.